Molecule: long non-coding RNA, 474 nt
Organism: Macaca mulatta (Rhesus monkey)
Lineage: Eukaryota; Metazoa; Chordata; Mammalia; Primates; Cercopithecidae
Source: RefSeq, a predicted model, not a curated record
UCUAAUUUUCUCUUUCCUAGUGGUACCUCACCUCAGACGGGCUGGUUUUCCAUUUUAAGACUGGGAUGAGACACCACAAAACAGGGCAGGUGAUACGGUUUGGAUAUUUUGUCCCCUCCAAAUCUCAUGUUGAAAUGUGAUGUCCAAUGUUGGAGGGGAGCCUGGUGAGACGUGUUUGGAUCAUGGGAGCAGAUUCCUCAUGAAUGUCCUGGUGCGGUCCUCGCAGUAAUAAGAUGGUUCACACCUGAGACCUGACUAAGUACCCAAGCUUCAGGAAGAUUCUUGGGAUGGAGAAGACAAGGAAGAAAUCUAGGCAUGGUGAAAUGGAAAACAAUUAAACUCAGAAGGAAUUUGAAUUCGUUUUUGGCAAGGACCCUCCACGUUUUCCUAGGCUUGCUGCCUGAACAUCAAUUCAAUCCGCCUCUUGCAGGGCGUGGUGGCCCACACCUGUAAUCCCAGCACUUUGGGAGGCCA